UGUUACAUUUUGUUGCUGUGGGACAAAUUGCAUGGAAGGGGCAGUCUGAUAAAAUGGUGUUUCACAUGGAAUUGCAUGUGAAGCAAAGAUGUGUCAUUGAACACAACUUUCUACACUCCAUGUGGAAAAAGUGGCAUUCAUUGAUGUUCAUCUCCACUUGCUGAACACUUAUGGAGAGCAUUAUUGAGACCAGAGAGGGGUUGUCAGUGGCUCAGUAUUUGAAUGGACAUUGGUGAUGAGUGGUGUCUCCCAGGUGGUGGUGCUGGGGCUGAUAGUCUUUAAUUUAGUGAGACUGACAGAGUGGUUGAGUGCACACAAGCAAGUUUGGUGAUGAUGCUAUGCCAUGGGGUGCAGUCGACACACCAGAGGGAUGGGAUUCCAGAGGGACCUAUAAAGGCUGAACAGUGGGCCCAGGUGAACCUCAUGAGGUUUAAUGAAUCCAAGUGCAAGGUCUUGCACCUAGGCUGGUGCAACCCCCAUUUCAGAAAACACAAUUUAAAAUGUUCAUCUAUUUAAGCAUGUAUUUAUAAAAAUGUCACGUGUUUUUAACAGGAAUUGAUCAUGUUGGGAUUACUGAAAACUGUGUCUUCCCUUUUGAGAACACGAGCUGUGAAUAUUCACGUAAAUCUUUUUACUUAUCUGAAAAAUGCUGAUAAUUGCACUCCAUCUUAUCCCUUCUUGCUUUUGUUAGAGUCUGUUUACAUUUUCUGCUCGAUGUGGAGAGUAUGAUCUUCCUUAUGCUACAUACUCAUCUAUUUUGACAGUGUGGAUUCUCAUCUGAAUGUCUUUUUGGCUGCCAUGGUGGGAACUGUAACCUAUUUUUAUGCCUGAAGAGAGUAACAGCCUCAGUAUAUUAUGACAUUGUUGUGUCAGUGAGCUUUCUGAAUAGACUUGUUAGCUUCCUCCAAACAUUUACCUGGAGUAUGUCUUUUUAAAGGUGGUUAAUAACCUGCAGGUGACAGAGCCCGUUUUCCCAGUUCUCCCAGAACAUCACUGGAAACUCCACUCCCAUCUAUCUAAUUUUCUUUCUCUCAGUUCUCUCAGUAUGUGUUUUCUCCAGGUUCUUUGGGUUUCUAGGUUGCCUUUGAUUAAGUUAAGGAUAUCUACGUGUUACCAUCAGAAGUCUGAACCAAAGUCUGGGGCUUGAGCUGUCAGGGCACUGUGGAAACCAUGCGUGACUGUGGUGACAGGUUGAAAGGUCCUGCAGAGAUCAUAGCCUUGAAGAAAUGGGAGGGAAGGAGGCUGUUUCUCAGCAUAGUGGUGGCUUCCCUCCUUUGUGUUCAAAACAUGUUUAGAUGCUGUACUAUGGGACAUGGUUUAGUGGGGAUGAUGCCUUCAGAGUCUCUCACAGUAUAUUUCUUCUGCUUGUAUGGUCACCUCUGUAGGUAGCAGGGCUGUUUCUGCAGCCUUGCAGCACUGGUGUUGUUAAUGUCUUUCCUUUCCCCUGUAAAAACACUUUUCAGAGCCCCUUAUAACAAACUGACUGGCCACAGAAGCAAUUGUCAAAGUGCAACAAACUGCGUGUGUAUCUCUCAGGGCUUGGGCAGCUGUAAUUUGUCACUUGUUUGUAGCUGCUUUAUCAGUGUGCUAAACACUUUCUGAGCUUUUGUAGAAGCAUUUUUUGACAAAUAGGGCAGAUUUCUGCAGUGCUGUAACAGUGUUGCAAAACUGACAUUUUUUAUUUUUUUUUUUGUUUCCACUACUGGGGAUUUCUCAAUUAUUUAAUUUUGGUAUUUUAGGAGACCACUUUUAUUGUUGCUUUUCUUCCUUUUUGUUUUGUUAUGGGAAGAAAAUAAGUUCUGUUUGAAGAUCUCACUAACCUUUAAAUCUCAUUUCUUUUUUUGGCAAUGUAGGGAUUCAGUGGGGAUCUGCAAUAUCUAUACCUGGUGACCAGUGCAAUGUUGUACAUGGAUUCACGUUCUACUUUUCACAUUAACUUCAGUGAAAUUCUCAGAUCUCAGCUGAAAAGAAAGGAUAUCAGAUAUAUUCAAGUAUCUUCAGCUUACCUUCUUACCUCACUCCAGUUUUUUCUCCUAGUAGUCCUUCCUACUCUGACUUUUGAUGUUAUUGACCAAUAUGUUACUUCUGAUUGUACAUACAUCACCUUCAGACUCGAUGUCCAAAUCUCCUUACAUGCUUUUUCAAAACUAAAUAAGGAAGUGCUGUGUUUAGUCUGCAACCAUAAUUGAGUACUUGACAUAAUGAUGUCAUAUUUCACUUCUGUUUGUUGGUGGAUGGAAACCUGUAUUUCUUUUUGCUGUAGCUUUUAUUUCUCAUAUUUCUGCUUUCUGCUUUGUCGUAUCCAGAUGUCUCUUUUUUUAGUGGGAUAAAUGAAAAAUACCAGCUUAAAACUUUAAAACAUUAAAUACUUAAACACUAUUUUUUUUAAAUAAGUUUAGUUUGAAAUUAAUACAUAAACUUUUUAUGGCAGGAGAUAUUUAGAUCUUAUUCAAAUAGUGCUGUUUAGAGGAAGAUCUGUCAUUUUUUUAUAAGGAUUUAUUUGUCUUUCUUAUGACUUAAGGUUUUUGAGUUAAAUUUUGACAUUUUAUGUUCUUGGAAAUCUUUGCUCUAUUUAUACAAAGACAUUUCUGAAGUAUAUGCCCACUGGUAUAUUAUGAGAAAUGUAAAAUUUAUUGUCAGCAGAGGAUGUAUAUAGCACACUGACAGCAAUUCUGAAGUGAAGACAUCUAGUCUGUAGUUUAUGCACACUUCAUAUUCAUGUCAGACUGUCCAGGUGGAUUCAGGAUAAGAGGAUGCUUGCUCUGACAGUUACAAAUCUGGGACUGGUGGCCCAGCUUCCACAUGAAGCAAUUUUCUAUUGUACUCCGGUCUGCAAAUGUGCUACAGAAGUCAUGACUAAGGAAAUGGUUAAAUCAGCAAAUUCAUCUGUUACUGCUCUUUUACUUAUUGGCCUGGUGCUUUUUGCUAAGCUUUACCCUGUAAUCCAUAUGAAUCCACAUGGCUUUACUGAUCUGUGUAGUGUUGGUACCUUGCUGUUCAAAAAAGCAUUAUAAAGUUUUAUUUAUCCUUUGUAUCUAAUUCCUACUGGAAGACAACACCUUGUAUUCACAUAAGAUAUUCAUUAAGGUAACCCCUGAAGAACUGAGGUAUUGCACAAUGUAUUUCACUCAUUGCUUAUCACGCUGAGUAAAUCCAUAAGACAUGUAUUUCUCAUAAGUAUUAAGUGAAAAAAUAUCCAAAGUAGAGCAUGGUUAACAGAGGAAAAGCCUUUAAGCUGAUGAAUCCUUCCCCUCUUGCAUUUGCAUUUGUUGGGAUUCAAAAAUGAAGUGACAGAGUGCCUCACAACAGAUGGACACCCAGCACACUUUCAAGUUCCAGGAAUUCCAAAAUAAGACUUAGAGAGAUUUGGAGAUCUUGUUGUUUUCUUUUGUGUUUGGGCAUAAGAACUAUAACCAUUGGACAUUUUUAUUUUUAGAGAAAUGAGUUUUCCAUGUGAUCAUAAAACUUAGGGUUUGAUAGCUUAGGAAUAAAAGACCAGAUUUGAAAACUGACUGUAAAAAUAAUGACGUGUGACAAUAUUUCAUUCAUCAGAGGUAGCAGAACUGGAGCAUUAUAUUAUCUGGAAUUAUAUAACAUCUAUGAUACUGUGCAGUAUUAUCCAAUUAUCUCUGUUCAUGCAAUUAGAAUUUCCCCUUACGAUAAAUAUUGUAAGUAAAUCUAUCCACUGCUGCAGUUCAGAGUAUAUCUGCUUAAUUUCAUUUUGCUGUCCCUCUACUGCAGCAGAUGAGUAUCAGCCAAGCCAGAGAGGUACGAGAUAGCAUCAAGUGCUAUUUAUCUAAGAAUAUUUUGUGAGUGUUCACUUUUCAGAAUAAGGUGAAAUUACUCUCCUCUGAUAGGCUUCUAUGCCAAGAAUUUUUGAACACGAUGUUACCUGUAGCAAAGAAGAGGCCACAUGUAAAAUAGAAGUGCAUAAAGCAGGAUAUAAUUAAUACUAUUUUACCUCAAUGCAAAAUAUUAGUAUACUGAAACAGUAUAAAAAGUAACAUGAGUGUAGUUUGUAAAUAUUAGGGCAUAGCAAGGCACAGGGUAUGCACACUUCAUAUACUUAGGUGAGAGAUGUGAACAGCAAGGAUGCAUGCGUAUUUUAGGUACACAAGAGGCAGUGAGAAAACAGCUAGUUGUAAAAUAAAGAGCAAGAUAAGCACAAGAGACUACAAAUACACAGGACAUCCUUUUCAGUAUACCAAAAGUUGAAAUGUUUAAAGCAAAUACAAAAUAAGUAGUAUCAGGAGCAAUUGAGUCCCCCCUUUUGGGAGGCAUAAAGCCAAGUAAGAUAAAAAACAGCAGGAAUCAAGGAAAGAAAAGAAGCAGAAUAGCAUGCUGUAAUUCUGAUUCCUGUCAAAGAGCUCUCAUGCUCUCACCCUGAUCUCAGACACUAAGACCACCAAGAACUGCAAACCAUCAACAUAAUCUACAUGAUAUCUGUGUGGCACUAUGUACUCACACCUAAUUUAGACUGUGUUUAAGAGGAGUAGUUUUCUAUACAUAAUGAUGUUGAUUAAUAAUUUUAAGUACUGUUAAUUGGUAGUAUAAGAAAUAGUCAUUAAUCAAAGUAUGUUGCUAAUAAAUGAUUUUUAGAAGUUUAAGUCUGGCUGAACGCUUGGUUUUCUGAAUUUACCACGAUGUUCUGCGAUUUCUUAACUUAUAUUCAUGUAUAUUUAUGUGUUGACAUAAGUGAAUAUGUACGUAUACAUUUAUAUACACAUAGUCACACAGUGCACAUACCUGUCCACCCAUCCAGGUGGAUAAUGUCCUGAUUUGAUUUAGAAGAUAUUAUACGAGACUGUACAAGACAUUGGUAAAAUCAAACUCAAAAUCUCCACAACCUAUUGAAGAUGGUAAUGCGUUUUCUUGUAAGGACAACUCCCAGCUCUCUCUAUAGCCCUAAAUGCAGCCUACUUGAUUCCAUGGCCUUGUAUGAGUCAAGUUAUCUCAGGUACUGCCUGUUUCAAGCAACCUUCAUUUGCUGUUGGUAGCUCUUUUCCUCAAACUCCUAUGUUAAGCUCAUGAAUCUGGGAUACUUUAUUAGUGAUUGGAAGAUGAAAUCAGUCUAUACCACUUCCUUAUCUGUCAAUAAACAAAUACUGCAUCUGAUAUUUCAUAGAUGUGUUAUAAAAGCAGAAGUUGAACUGUUUGAUCUAAACUUGCAAAUGAAUAUUACAAAACAUACGCAAAUAUAAUAAUACUAGAUUUAUAGUUACUUGAGUCCCCAAGAAAGUCUGCAAGAGGUAGCACUGAAUGCAGAGAUUCAUGAUCUGCAGAUUCAUGAGCGUAUGUGUAAUGGGAGUCUGGAGUCCCUUUAAGUGACUUAUGUAAUAAAGAUUUCUCAGUGAAAAUGCACUUGAGCUGAAGUAGUGAAAUCCCACUCCAGAAUAGAUAGUCCUUUCACCUUCCCUUUAGUCUUUUGGCUGCAACUUCUGUUUUUUACUUUUGCUUGGGUCUGACUCAGUUUGCUAAAAUAAUCAUUUAAUUUUGCCAGGUAAGAAAGAGAACAUAUCUUUUAAUAUAUAUAGCUGACAUUUUGGCAAGAAUUAUUGAAGGGAAGAAACUGACCUCUUUUAGUUGUACUGAGCUUUUAGAUAAACAGAAAUGUAAUAGGCAACUUUGUCUUUAGUAUCCCAAGUUGUAUGUAUAGAUUCUCUGCAGUCAAACAGGAAAAUUCUAGCGUGUAACAAACUAGCUUAAAGCAAUUACUUUUAUCCACAAAUGUUUGUAAAUGCCAUUGUUUCAACCAUGUUAGCUCUUCUUGAAUGGUUAGUCAACUGCUUAGAAAGGUUGUAACUUAAAUGAGAUGCAGAAGGCUUGAGUGCCACAUUUUUCAGCAUGUUGAUAAAUGCUGCAGCUACAAUCUAAAAAUACUCAUUGUAUUGUAAACACCACUGCAUCAUUUAUUAAAAUAUGAAUUAAUGAGGUCCAUAGAUUUUCCACUGCAUUAGGCAAUACUUGACUGUACAAGAGAGAGCUCAGCUGAGAAUUCUGCAGCAGUCAGUUUUUCACUAGCAGCUUUACCUCCAUCUUCUCUUCUUUGUUGUGGGUGUUGGUAUUCUUCAGUGUCAGCACCCUCCCCUAAUGUCAAAUUCAUGUCCUCUGCUUUUGCUUCUGUUUGAACUUUGUCGAAUGGUUUUGAGUGUAUAUAUUCUGCCUUGUACUUCAUCUCCUUAAAAUGAUAUGAUAUAGUUCUGUAUACAAUUCAUAAAUUCAUUUAUAUUUUCAUCUCCAAAAUAGCCAAAGCAUUAUCUUUCAUUCCAAUAGAAGACUAAACACUCACUCUGCUGAGUGUCUUCAGCUGGGAUUGGGGAAACUGAAAUAGACACCAGAUCAGAUUGCCCAGAGCCCCAUCCAGUCUGGCCUUGAACAGAGGAUGGGGCAUCUGCACAUUCUCUGGGCAAUCUGUUCCAGCCCCUUACCAGCCUCUGAGUGAAAAUUUUUCCCCUAAAAUCUAAAUACCUCCUCUCUCAGUUUAAAAACCAUUCCUCAUUGUCCUGUCACUGCCUACCCAUGUAAAAACUCAUUCUCCCCUCCUGAAUAAGAUUCCCUUAUUCCUCGUUUCAGGGUUUUAUGAGUACUGUUAGCUGCUAUGUCAAAUGUUACCAAACAGACUCUUAAGGACAUAAUAUUUGUGAAGCAAACCUCUGGUGACACAUUUGAAAAUGUGAGCCAGAAUUACUACUGUAACUUUAUGCUUAAAAUAAUUUGUAUAACAUAAAACUUUUAAAAGAUUGUUUUGGUUGUUUUUUGUGGUUUUUUUUUUGUUGUUGUUGUUUGUUUGUUUUUUGUUUUUGUUUUUGUUUUCCUAUGGAAGGGAUAACUGGGAAAAACUAUAGAUAUAUAGUUUAUAGAUAUAUAGAAAAAAUAGAUAGUUGUGACUGGAUUGAGUAACAAACUUUGUAUGAUCUACUGUACAAGUGAAGAUAGAACAACUAACUGCUCUUCUCUUACAAAAGAUUGCACCGGUUUUCUCCCAAAGGUGCUUAAAUAGCAGAUCAUGCUUAACUGUUUAGAAGAUUCUGCCAUCUAGUGAUUGGACUUGCUGUUUGAACAUUUUGCAUGUCACUCCAGCUGGCAUUGAUGGUUGGACUAGAUGAUCUUAGUGGUCUUUUCCAACCUUAAUUAAUCCGUUAUUCUAUGAUUCUAAGACAUCCUCCAUAUCUUUGAGCAGCUCAAUCUGAUUUUUGCUUCCUAAAUGUCACUGCUUUUCUUAGUUGAAAAUCAUUUUAUGUCUGUCCAGCACUUAUCUGCUAUGGUUAUUGAUUUUGAAAUUCAAAUUAUUGAAAUUCAAAUUCAGAAUAUUUUGUAUGUUUGUUUAUUUAUUUCCUCAGUAAUACAUGUCUGGGAGAGUAAGCAGUGGCUCUCUGCUGCACCUGAAACCUGUCGUGCUCUUAUUAUGGUAUAAAAUGCUACUUUACAAGGAUUGCUCUUGACAAACAGAUGAACAGCUGUAGACAAUUGGAACAUACAAAGAAACAGCAUCUCUUUUAAACCAACCUCAUCUGAUUUCCUGAGACAGCGUGAUGAUGUCUGGUUAAUGCACUGCUGUUUUUCCUAAAGCAACAGUGACAACAACAUUUCUUCCUCCAACUCCUUUGCUCUGUAUUCUGCUCUAAUACUGGACUUAGAAAAGUGACUGUCCUUAAGAUGUUUCAUUUCUGUUCUCAAGAUGGAGAAUAAUGUAGAAGAGGUUGACUUAAACACAGCGAGCGUAUGGAUCUUUACAGAAGGCACUGUCUUUUUCCCAUUAUCUGUGAUGACUGAGAACUCCUUGCAUAUGUCUGAACUGUAUGGCCAAAUUGAGAUUAUUGUUUUUAUAUCCUUUGGAGCCACCAAUCACACUACGAAAAAGAGCUGUGGGUUUGCACAUGCUGCACCAUUUGACUUCAGUGGAGCUGAUUCAGCCUGGUGAUAGCUAUCAUACUGUAUAUUCAGGUCUGUAUUACAAGUUACCACCUUUCCUUUUCUUACACUUUAAAAAGCAUUCAGUCUCAUAAACCACCUUUCUUUCCUUAAAAAAAAAAAACACACCACCAAACAUCAAAACAUUGGAACAUGGCUUUCAGUGAACAUGGAAUGUGGUUUUUGAGUGUGAUGAUUUUGAGACAAAUAGGUAAAUGAUAGCUGAUAGCACAUUGUUUUUUACUGAUUGACAUGCUAUAUUCUUCAUAGCUUAACAAGUUAAGGAAAAAGUAAAUCUCUGAUGAGCUGUCAGCCUUCUGGGUCAGCUGUAUGAAAAGGAUUAGUGGUGGCUAAAGGUCAAGGGGCAGUAAGAGUUUCUACAAACACUUCAGAAACUGAGAGGACAAAUGCCUGGUAGGGGGCACUCCUUUCAUUUGAAAAGUAGAAUCUAAUGCAACAGUGACUGGGAAAUGCUUACUACCUACACUACAUUGCCUUUCACUACUAGUCUUCAGUGAGAAAAGCAAAUAGAUACAGAGAAAUUAUUUCCAUGUUUCUGAUCAGUCGAUGAAAAAUAGGUAAAGGAAUGUGUGGAAAGCAGGUCCACAGAUUGGCAGAUGGAAUGACAAGAUUUCCAGUUGGGCUGGUAACCAGUUCUAUUUGUAUCUUUAAAAGAAUCAGACAAUCAUAAUGGAAACUCCCGGCAUCUUCCUGGCAGUAAGUGUAAGUGUAACCUGAAGACCAGCCAGCUAUUGUUUUGAUAAGUUUGAUCACUUUUUGAUAAACCAUUAGACAUAAUCCACAAUAAGAGCUCAAAAUCUUUUCAAGUUGACAUACAAUUACUCAUCCUUUAAUCCAGGUUCACUUUUAUGGAUUAAGUGCUUUGCAACAUCCAAAACCUUUCAUCUGAUACCAGUUAAGGUUACUAAAGUUGAAGAAUACAGACUUCUUUUCUAGGUACAGAACCUGUUGCUCUUCUUCAAACAUUUUCCAGCUGUUGCUUUUUGUCAGUCGGCUAUCAGAAGGCUGGUGGGUUUUACUCAUACCACUUUCAUUAAGACAGGCACAAGGGCACAGAGCUGCACCAGAGGAGGUUCAGACUGAAUAUAGGGAAAAUAAUUCUUUACUGUGAGGGGGAUGGGAUACUGGAAGAGGCUUCCUGAGAAGUUGAUGAUGCCCCAUUGUUUGUCAGUGUUUACAAGCCAUUAGGUCGUCUUUACUUUUGGUUAGUCCUGAAGUGGUUGGGUAGAUGGACUUGACAACCUUUGUAGGUAGCUAAGAUGUUCUAUUGUACUCUAUUCUAUUCCAUUUUACCAUAUUCAUAUAGUUUAUUUAGAAGGAAAUGUAUUGGCUGCCCUCUAAGCUGGAACUGCUCCUGACUACCUCUAUGCAAGUGUACUGAAAAUUUGGGUUCCUGUUUGGUGUGUACUGUCAGUGCUUCUUUUCCUCAGCAGCUGUAGUGAACCAGAAAUGAAGUAAAACAUACACACAGCUUAACUGUGAGAGGAAGAAAGAAAAUAAAAGUAUAACAAAUUAUUUCAUUAUCAAAGUAAAAUUCUGUAUGAAUUUUUCUCAAUAUUUUGGCCAGAAUGACCAGAUAUCCUGCUAAAGAAAUUCACCAAUCCUGUCUCCAGUCUCCACCGAACAUUAGGGAGAAUGCAUGUCAUGAAGGAAAAUCACUGAAUCAUGGAAAGUACAUGUCCCUCACAAAACGUGUGUGCAAUGCUUUUAUGACAUAGAAAGACAUGAACAGGGCCUGCAAGAUCAUGGAUCCUUCUGCUUUUUGCAACAUAAAAGACCUGAUCUAACUUAUAUUUUGCUGUAGGACUGUUGGGUAAUAAGGUGGGAGAGAAUUAACUCUUGGUUUAUAUGAAUGCUCUUAAUUAAUUGUUCUUGGUACUAUAUGGGCUCAUCUGCUCACUACCUCGCUGUGUCCCAAGGCUGAUGGCUUAGUCUGUCAGGAGGAAGACAGAAGGUUCUGACAAGUCAUGGAUUUUGGUAUGUUUUCUAACAAGCUCUACCUAGUUCCUCCUCCAUGGAUCUACAGAUUCACCUUAUAUCCAAAUCUACUCUAAAUCCCGUGCUUUACAUACCAUGGAUACAUGUCCAUUCUUCUCCUUGUCACAUUUAAAACUGGUUUUUCUCAGUUCCAGGGGUUGCAUUCCUUUGGUAGAGCAGUAAAUAACCAUUGAUGACAUCGUUUUUAGGCCUGGAGCAUCACAUGCAGCCCCGUAGUUAUGUUUACAAGUCAAUUCUACAUGGGAUAAAUGCUUGUUAUUGGUACGUGUUAGUUAUAAAUAAUUGUAAACAGUAGUAUAUCAUGCUAUGUGUACAAGCUAGGCAAAAGAAAUACCUUAUUCUGUACGUAGUCUGUUAUUUCAUUGACUGUGAUUUAAGUGAUUUAAUUAUGCAUGUUGAUAGAGCUUUCUGUUGAGUAAAUGCAGGAGGUAAUAGUGCUGAGAACAGUGCUUCCUCCAGCAGCCACUACUGCUCUUUUAUUUUAGAAAUAACUGCAUUUGUACAUGAACUUAUUACAUCGUUGUAACUUCAAAAGUUCAUGUAGAUGUUUGGAAUGGGUGAUUUUCUUUGUAUCUUCAAAGUACAUUAAAAAAAAUCCAAUUUGGAAUGUCCACAUGUUCUAUCUGUAUUAUAACUGAAGUGUUUCUUUCAUUUUAAGGACUUUCACUAUAUGGCUGUGAGCAAAAGCACACAGAUUAUUUGAAUUUUUAAGAUUCCUCACUUAAAAUUACAUUUUUCUUUGCAUUUUCUUUUCUACAGUUUGACUUGUCUGUGAUAAUUUCCUUUAUUCCUGUAGGAAUAGUGCUUGCAGGGAUCUCAGAGCAAAUAAGCUAGGCCAUGAAAAAUCUUAAAAACAUCAACUUUGAAUGGCAAAGCCCAUGAUUUCAUGUGCCAGGUAGAUUACGUCAGUCUUUCUUCUCAUAUCCACCGACACAGCUGUGUUAUCGGGCAGGACCAGCCUUUGGCGAAGCCAUGCUGGUUCUCCCAUAUCCCCCAUUUCUCUUAUGUGAACCUUAGCAGAGCUCCCAGGGAGAUCUGCUCCAUGAUCUUCCCUGACAACAAGGUGAGGCUGACAGGUUGGUAGUUCCCAGGAUCAGCCUUUCUAAAAUGCAUUUCUCUAAAAUGGGUACAACAUUGCCUUUCUUCCAGCACCAGGGACUUCACCGGAGGAAAUACGUGGCCAUUCAGGCCUUCACUCUUACUCUCCUCUCCCUUUCUUCUCCCUCUCCUGUCCCUUUUCUUUUUUUUUUCUUUUUUAUUCUUGAGUCUAUUCAUUAAGAUUUGUAGAAAGCAGAUGCAGUUCUGUUUAAUGCAUGCAGACUUCAUUUCUUAUUGAACUAUUUGCAUUACUUUGAAUUUUGAAAAGCUUAAGCUGUUAAUGGAUUUUGGAUGGAAUGAUAAAAAGAAUCUCAGACUCUUCGCUAUUUCCUAGUAAUUACUAAUUCUGCUUCCAGAAGGAGGUUUAAUGCUUAUCCCUAAAAUUAACCAUGCAUGCCUUUUAGAAUGUGUAUUUAAAGGAACUCCUGCUGCUAUGGUAGGAUUUUAUAUUGUAGAAUUCUUGUAAACAUGCAGGAAUUAACUUGUACAUCUGCUUUGUGAGGUAUAAAUUUUUUGUUAUAUACCCAUACAUGUACGUGUGCCAUCCAUCAGCUCAGAGCAUGUGUCUUCCCUACACUUUUAUCUGGCUAAUAAUUCAGCCAUAUACAGUCGUAGCCUUUAACAGAACCAUGACUUUGGUCCUUAAAUGCCAUAGAGUUUUAGGUUUGCAUAAAGUCCAAAGUUGUCUUUUAGUUGUUGUGUACUAUACCCUUAUCCCUAGUUUCUCUCAAUCCAAAGACAUCAGCAGACAUUACCAUGAGCAAUGGCUAAGCAUAGAUUAUUUGACUUUACACUGGAGUGGGCUGGGAGAACUUCUAUUGCAAGGGAAAAAUUAAUAGGUAACAACAGAAAGCUAAAGCCUAUCUGUAGAACAGACAAUCCUUAUUUAGUUAUAACUACUGAGUGAUCUCCUGUAGGAAAGAAGAAGAAAGGCACCAAUGAUCUGAACUGAGAUGAGGCAGCUUACUGCUGAGCUGCCAAGCCCUGGAGCACCCUCACCGUGUCACAGGUGCCUGUGGUUGAGGACAGAUCACACACAUGGAUAUGUUCCCUUUUGCUCGUAACAGGAUUUGUACAUGUAACAUAACAAGUUUCUAUUUCCCUGUCUGUAGUACUCACAAAUUCUUAGUAAACUAAUUUAAAUUUCUAAUCUAGUAGAAAACUAUACCAGGAAAACAAAAAAAAGAAGAAAGCAAAAUAAUGUAUUCCACUGAUUUAAUACAGAGUCAGAUGUAAACAAAACCUGGUGGCAGCAGGACUCGUGCUGAAGCAAGCAGAAUGAAAGGGGAAAAAACUUGGGAUAAAACAGCUUCAUCUGAAGGAGAAUUUAAACUUGUCACUGCUAAGCAGUGUUUAUUUGUGAUGGAGCGAUGGUCUGGUGUAGCCAACAGGAUGGUGUGACAGCAUUACAGUUAAAGCUGUCUGGGAGCAGGAAUGUCAGAAAAACUCUAUAUGAAGUGUGCAAAGGUUAAUUUCUGAUGAGAUGCUAGUAUCUUGUAACUAUCAUGGGAAGGGAGCCCUUUGAGAUUACUUUUGGUAGACAGAACUGGCACUAGGGGUUGCACGGGGCACCAGGUUAGGGUGCCUGAUGCAGAUGCUCAUACGAUGAGUGCUGACAUUGCCAUAUGGGGUGUAAUAUCCCUGUGGCCAGCAUAGAAUAGCUAUCCUGAUUCUGUCCACUCCCAACUCCUGGCGCCCCUUCAGCAGACAGGACAGGAUGAGAAGCUGAAAAACUCUGAGCAGCAACAACUAAAACAUCAGUGUGUUAUUGACAUUGGUUUUUUCUCCUGGAGACAAAACACAGCAGCACACCACACACUAUAAAGAAAAUCAGCUCUGACCCAGCUGAAAUCAUAACGUCAGUGCAUUGCUCAGUAAAUGCCUUUACAUUUAAGGACAAGCAUGUUUUAUAUUCCCCAACACAGCCUUGUCAUGUGAUUAUGAACUCAUAAAUUAGAGAUGCUAAGUACUGGCUGAUGACAAACAAUUUUGUGAACUGUGUGAAUGAUUAUUAAAUUGGACAUAGUAAAAUCAUUAGAAUAAUAACGCACUAAAAAAAAAAAAAGAAAAAAGAAAAGAAAAAAAGAAAAAAGAGAUAUUCAUGGUCUUAAUUUCACUCUUGUUUUCCUGUAUUUUGCUUUUCCAUUGGUCACAAUACGAAAACUCAAGGAUUUAAAUGCAUCCUUACUGAUAGACAAUUUGCUUUAUAGGAGUAGUAAAAAUAUAAGAAUAUAUAGGAAAUACAGAGGAAUACAUAAAAAAUACUAGGAGCUGAUUUAUACUCUGUAUUAUUCAAUAGACUUACACUGUUUUAUUAUCCUUUACAUAAUAACUGUUAUCAAAUCAGGGAAUACAAAAAUUCUUCCUCUGCAAUAAGGGUGGCUUAGCAUAAGCAAAAUCCUAGCAGGAAAAUCUAUUAGCAAAGCACAGUUAUUGUAAUAAACUAGAUGCUCAUUUCUCACUAUCUAAAUAGGCUUUCCAACAGCCACAUAUGGUCAUUUCUUUUGAUUCUAAUAUCGUGUCUCUCUCAGUUGUUCCUGGGGGUCACUUUAAUACAGGUAACUGAACUACAGUUAAUCCUGCAUAUGUUGUUCUAGGUUAGUUGCUUACUAACCUAACAGGCAUGUUGCAUGCCUGUCCUCGUUUACUUGUGCUAUGGCUGCCUUUCACUCACUGUCACAUACUCAACUCCAUGUGAUCAUUUGGUAAGUCUUGCAUGAGUAUAUCAUAUUUAUUACUCACUAAGCAGCUACAGAAUAACGUGACAUCUAAUAAACCCAAUUCCUUUAAAAACCCCACUGUGCUCUUUAUUAGCUGGUGCUGCUCCAUGGGCAGUAAUAGGAUGGUUUCAAAGAAAAUAAGAAUUUUAUCUUUAGAAAUGGGGUGGUGGUUUACUAUAUUGAAUGGUGCUUUUUUUUUUAUUGUUGUUGUUUGUGUUGGUUGGCACGCUGAGUUUUUUCUUUUUGGAGGGGACAGCAAUGAAAGGCAGACACCUAAACCGAAUGAAACAUCUGCUUUGCCUGCUACAUUCCUGCGAAGGGCAAUACUGCAUUGCUUUAGCUGAGCCAAAAGCUAAAACUGAGAUCUGUUCAGUGCUUAGAGGAUAAAGCAGAUGUAAUCUCAGUGAAGUUCCCCACAUCUGGUGUCAACAUCCUGGUAAAGAUACUGUGAGAGGAAGUUAGAAGUUAAUUUUAGGAUGAAUUUCACACUCAAUGACAUCUGGAUCAUGUUGCUUCACUGUUGCUAACUGAGACUUCAACUUCUUUUUUCUAUCAUCAAUUAGUUGAAAGCAUUUCUGAAGUUAAAUGUUCCUCUCACUUUUUCACAGAGACCUUAAAGUGUGCUGAGGUGUUGGUGAAGAAAAGUCAACUUUUUUAGUGCCUCAGAUACUGUAAAAUGCCUUUUUUCAGGGACCAGUUUAACGUGAACUGUGGCUGUAAGCAGAACAGAGAUGAAAUGUACUGGAAUUUCUUACAGUCAGAAAUGGAAGUCUGGUGUGCCUCCGAAAGAGGACACAGCUGCAAGGUCUCGCACACGUACAUGCCUCGAGAAAAAGUUGAGAAGCAGAGGAGCUACCAGCAGUGGAGGAGGAUCUGUGCAGGCUGAGAUCUUUUCAGGAGCCCACACAAGUCUCUGAGGCCAGAUGGGCUGCAUCCGAGCACUGCAAGAAAGAUUGCUCUGAUGGUACAGAGAAUGAAGCUCCAAGAUGUCUAGAGAAAGAUGGCAGCAGUUGGGCAGCCUGACAGUAUGGCACUUGGUGUCAAAGUGCACAUGAAGCAAAGGUGUGGAACCAAGUUCCUUCAUUCAGAAGAAAAUGGUGCUCAUUGGCAUUCAUCAACAUCAUCAACAUUUGCUGAAUGUCUGUGGAGACCAAGCAGGGGAUGUGAACACAGUGAGCUGGUGAGAGGUGCAUACAGUUACUGUGGUAAUCAGAGGAUAUAAAAACUGAGUAUUAUGGAAGCAACAUCAAAUUCCUUUCCUCUGCUGUAUCUGUUCCCUGUUCUGUUUUGUAGUGACUUACGCAUUACCAGGCAAAGAUAAUAACCAAAAGAAAUAUGGUGUGUUGGACCUGAAGCCAUUUUCAGCAUUUUCUACUGCUCCCUUUCAUGUGUACACCUCAGGAUCUGUGUAACAUGGUGUCUGCUUUUCUUCUUUCAAAAAAUGGCAACGUGCUCUUGCUGACCCUUCCUGAGCAGGCGUUUGGGCUGGAUCAUUUCCAGAGGUGACUUCCAACCUCAGCAGUUUUGAACAGAGAUCUGGCUCAAGCUAUCCUGGAAGCAGAGGAAGACAGAAGAAGCUACUAUAGACCUGAACUGAAUCUUGUGAGAACCACCUUCUUGUUCCCACUGCCCACCAGGCACCACAGGAGAAGGAGUAGCAAAAUCUGAGUGUUAGCCAGUGUCCCUUAGCUGUCUUUUCAAACUGUCUGGAGACACUGUUCUGAGUACCUGAGCUCCUUAAGAAAUUUAAGUAGAAGAAAGUUAUUUACUUUGUGUAAAACAGUAUGAUAUAGAUUUAGUUGUAUUAAUAAUACAUUCUGCCAGACUGCCCAUCUGCUGCCAUCUGUCACACAGCAACAACGUGUAAUAGGAUAUUGAUGGGAAGGUUCAACCUCUGCUGCCAUGCCACCAGCAUCCACUUCUGACAUGGUGAGGCAGCAUCAUCAUAUAGGAGGCAUUACUUUUGGAGUAUCCCUCAUAGUAGUAGACAAGCACUAGGCAUCUUUAGAUGCAGAUUUAUUUACAGGUACAGGUGGUGACAUAUUUUUUUGUGUGUAGUUAAAUCCUCAUAGCGUACAAAGUAGCUGUUGUAACUGCUUAGGGUCAAAUGACUGAUUGGUACAUCACUAAUAUUUACAGCUGAACUCCAACUGAAAAGGUCUUUUUGCUGUUAUGAAUCAAGCAAAGCACCUGCCUGUCUUAUGGUCCCUCUGGUUUGAGGGAUAUGAUUUUAAGGGAUAUGAUUUAGCUGGGAAGUAUUGGUAAUGGUUGGACCGGAUGAUCUUCUAGGUCUUUUCCAACCUUGAUAAUUCUGUGAUUCUGUGAUUCUGUGAGAAGCAGUCCCCAGUGCUCACUGCCCUGUGGCCAACAGUGUUAUUUAAAGAAAACCUCAUAGACAACAUCAGUUCCUGCUCUCCUUCUCACUUCCAGUUGUAAGUUUUAAUUUUGUGUGGCUCCCAGCAUUAUUGUUGCCUCUUGCAGGGAGCAUAUUCCUAGGGACACGAACAUGAGGAAGGAACGUGCUUUUUGUUUUCUCAAAUAGUUUUCUCCCAACCCACAAGUUGUACUUUUAGUUCUCUCCCCCAUUCCACUGUGAACUGGGGGGAAUGAGUGAACAGAGGUGCAGUGCUGAGCCACCUGCUGGGUUAAACCACAACGUUUUAUCACUCCAGAUCCAUACAAUCAUUUCUGCACAUGUUGAUUAUAGCCCUUGUACAGUAAAGAGAUUCUGCCUGGAAGAGUUCACUUAUCUCUUCAUAAAACUGAAAUAUAGAUCGAGCCUUCUAUGGAUGAGGACAGCUGGGCACUAAAAUGUUUGUGCUUGUCAACGCUAUGCACAGUGCAGUGUAAUUAUCACAUGCUUAUUAAUAUCUUUUUCCUGAUGUGUAUAUCUGCCUACACGUACAGGAAAUCGUCUCAGUUAAUGGAUGAAGGAAAGAAACAUCUGAACACAAAAGUUCUUUUGCAAAAGAGAUACUUAAAUAUUGUACUGGAACUACUACAGUUUGUAUUCACAGACCAGGUAGCUACUCCUGAGAGAGAUGUUCUCCCAGAGUAUACACUGGGGCUCGCUUAUCUGCUCUCUGUGGAAUGUGAAGGGUGAAUUGUAUGGUUCUGUCUUCAGCCAUACGACUGAGCUGGUUCUUUUUUCUCCAUGGUCCAUCUUUUUUCCCUUUUCUUUUUGUUACUGCUUCUCAUGCCUUCCCCAAUUAAGAUCAUAAAUUCUCAUAUUUUUGUGGGUUUUCCUUUAGGAAAGACUCGCCAGGUGCUUUUCCCUUCUUCUGGGAGAAUAUAUACAUGGAAAAUGUUUCAUUUCAGAGGUCAGUAACAAGAAGGAGGAGAAGCUGAAAUACAUUUUCAUCUGCACAGAUCCAUCAGCUUAGCAUCAGAUAGGCAGAGUCUGAGAUUAACAAGCUUUACCUUGACAGUGACUCAACUAUGAAAGCAGUACUGUGACAUUUCUUAAGAAAGGCUGCCCACAUGCAUAUUUACAAUUCAACCUGUUGGUUUUUUUCUCUCACUCGCUAAUCUCUCUCCAUUUUGUAGUGAAUUACUUACUAUAAUACUGCAAAAGGAGUUGGUUAUGGGCUGUACCUCUUGGCAUUUAGGGCACAAGAGAAGUACCAGAAUUUCUCUGGUUUCAUAUUCACUUGUACAGUGUGACGGUGAAUGUGGAUGCAAAGAGAAUAGCAAGUAACCACCCUUUCUUAUAGAGACUUCAUGCAUGUCAGAAUACAUCCCCUAAAAGCAACAGAGCAAUCUUCCUCAAUGUUUUGCCUCUCUACUUUUGGUGUUGUUUUUUUUUUUUUAAACAAAUAGUCUAGACCAGAAAUCCAUAUUUUCUGUUUGUGUACCCAACAGACAAACUAAUAAAGAAUACAAGACAUAUAUUCAGAUAUACAAAAUCCUGUCCUAAUCAGAUGGAUCGAAACCUAUAAGCACAGGUAAUUAGGAAAGAUGUAGUUGGCCAUCCAAAAAACAUUCUUCAGAUGUUUCACAUGGUAACGUGAGACACAAAUGUGGUAUCAAGAAGGUCUCUUUUGUCUGCAUGUUAGCAUUCACUUAUCUUGGAUUAACUGGGCAUUAACAGAUGCUGAAACAUGGGGAAUCUUUUUUUCUUCUUUUUUUUUAAUUAGGCGGAAUAAAAGCCUUUUAUUUGCUAUUUAAGGCUUUUGUGGUACUUCUUUGUAGUUAUUUUUUCAUUGUCUGGUAUUUUGCCCACUCAGCAGAUGAAACAGCUGUGAGAUGAGCGGUUCUUGCCUACAGGAUAUUAUUGUAGCAUUAAAAUGAUGCACGCUCAUCAUCUAGUGAAAUCCUUAUAUUUUUAUAUAUUUCUUUAUAAUUGUUUGUCAUUUAUUUAUUUUUAUGUAUAAGCAUAAAUAUGCAUGCUUUCAUUUAUUUUUAACAUGUUUUCCUGCUUAAAAAUCACCUUUAUGCUCAGUCUGCAAAGAAAAUUGGGUAUCGAUACAUACUUGUCUAAAAACAUCAAUGUGAAAGUUUCCAAAUGUUUUUUUCAGCCAUUAUUAACAGAAAUUAGUUGUGAUUUACGCAUAGUUCUCUGCCUUCAGGGUUUUUGAUUGCUUUAGCUGUUCUUUUUGAUGAAAUAAAAAGAUGAAGUAAAGAUGAAUUUAAAAUAAAUGAAUUAAAAAAUACAGAAAUAAAAUGGAGCAGGUCUGGAUCAUGACAAGCUGGUAUUAGCUGUGGUGUGCAAAAGGAGCACAAAUUCCAUGAGUUUCCCCAGAAUUCUGUGGCUGCAGUAGGUGCUCAAUGCCAGGGAUGGAUAACGCACACAACGCAUGAACAUAUUUGCACCACAACAUUCUGUGGCGCUAACAGAAAAAUAUAUGUAAUAUAGAAGCACUCAUGGAAGCAAAGAUAAAGAAUGCAAUUGCUAUUUUUUUUCCCCCACUAAUAGUCACAUAUGACGUUUGCAUGUUUUAUGUCAGUGAAUUUAAGAGCUAACGAUGUCAUAGUAGAAUGCAGAUAGGACUGAGCGCUGGUCAAAGUGCUUCAAUUUAUUUAUUUAUCUGUUUAUUAAAUUUGUAUGCUUUUCUCCAAAACAGGACAAAGUGCACCAGUUUCAGUGACCCUGCUCAGGGACAAAGGGAAAAGGUCAAAGCAUUCCAUUUGAAGAACAUAUGUUCCUGGGCUGUCUGGAUUAUGUUCAUUAGAUAGUGUAAGAAUAUAACAACAAUAAGUCUUAUUUUCAAAAUCUAAUAAAAACUAAUGAAAGGGAUUGUAUUUAAAUGAAAAGUUUUAAUGAUACUUAAAUUGUUCUUCCUUGCAGAUAUCCAUGUUUUAUUACAUUCUUUUAUUAGCUAGCACUAGUAUUUGCAAUAACAUUAUCUGAGAUUAACAUCUAUUCCUCAUAUAGUGUUACUUGAAGAUAAAUUGUUUGAUAAUCCAAGUAAAAUGCUUGGCCUUUGUGCAAUAGAAUAAAAAAGGGACAAAAGAGUUGCCAAAAUGUGAGUAAAUAAUACAGGUCAUAAGCAAGGAUAAAGACCAUAUACACAAACAUAUGAAUUUUCCAAUAAAGAAUGCCAUGGCAGGGCAACUGAUCUGCACUCUGUGUAAACUGAAGAGAUUUCAUUUCCCUUCCCUACUGAUGUGUACAAACUGCAGAGAUGUUUGGCUUUGUGAAGGGCUCUGGAGCCCUUUCCUUUUCUGAAAAUGUUGUUAAGUGACAACCUGUUAUUCCCAGGAAUCUUAACAACUGUAUUGUAAAUAGUAAUGCAUAAUUUCUUUUAACAAAACUUUCUAAGAUGAGUCUAAUUUCAGGCCAUGAAAUAAAUGCCGUGUUUGCAUUAUGCUUGUUUCAAGGCUACAAGAGAACUUUCGAAUCCUGCAACGAACAUUAAAUGAGUUUCAGUGCUUAAUGGAUUACUGCACAACCCCCUCCAACUUUUCUAGGGAUAAGGAUCUGAUUUGCAAUGAAAAUGAUAACAGGAUGUUGGUUUUUCUUUCAUAGUCUUUGUCUGUAAAAGAAGGCCAGGUAAUAUAAUGCUAAGGCAAUAUCACUUAGGAAACAGAAUUCAUAUUGUGUGUACUGAAACCAAACUAAAAGCUGCAGAAUCCACUCUACUAAUCUUUGGAGAUAACAUGCUCAUAGCUCUAGUCAUAGCACAGCUGUGUGGGAAUCCUUGGCACCCAGGAGCACUACAUUCUACUUUCCUCUCAACAUUUAAGAGCAGAAAUAUUUUAAGGCAGUCCUAACAGCCAUUUCUUCUGGGGGUUGCUAUUGUGGAGAGAGGAAGGAUACAGUACUGUAGUAUUUUAGCAUUGUGGCUGUUGUGCAAUAAAGAACACCACCAAAACCAAACAACAACAAAACACAACCCUGUGUCAUCAGUUUUCCUACUGAUGAAAAUGUAUCACAGAACAGACUCCGCUAUGUUGAGUAGGGAGGAAUAUUAGAGUAUCACUGCACUGCUUUAGUGUGUGCUCAGCAGUUGAUGCAUCUGAAAAGUCAGGAUUCUGAAGUUCAUCCUUAUCAUUUUGGCACUGCUUUUAAAAGUGCUUCCACAGAUUUACUAACAUAGGUUUUUGAUGUUUCUGUGAAUAUUUGAAGUAUUGUACUAUUUGGGAUAAAACUCUAUGACAACUCUAUGAAGUUCUUAACAUGUACGAAUAAAUAAGUUCAGAUAGAUGUUGUGGCCUAAGAGUAUGUGUUCAUUCUUCUUAAUUAAAAUACAUACUUGGAAAUUCUGAAAAAUGCCUCAUUUCAGUGCAGUGACAUUUGAAGAUGUUUUUAAUUCUUUUUGUCCUUGUUUUGGGGCUUUAUUCACCAGCAAAACUAGAAUCUAAGCAAUAAUGAUUUUACAGAUGAUUCAUAAUGUCAACGGCACCAAGAUCCACUGGAGAACAAUUUUAUUAGCUCAUGAUUUUAAUGUUCUGUAGCAGCCAGACAUUCCACAAGCUGUGAAAGAGUGCAUGUUUGAUACUCUACAAAGUUCUUUGGAAUAAAAACAGUGUCAUUAUAUUCAGUCUAUUGAAUUGUAUGUUUUCAGUGAAGAGCUUUGAUUUCUUUUCCCUUAACAAAUUACUAAGGCAGGACUUUCCCUUGAUGAACACACGCUGACUAUGAAUGAUAAAUAUUUUGUUCCAUAACUGCUUCUUAGUAUCCUCGAGCAUAAUCUUCUCCAUAACUUUUCCAGGCACUGAGGUUAGACUAACAGGUCUGUAGUUUUCUGGGUCUUCUUUGAGCUGGAAAUAAGACUGACUUGCUCCCUGUCAACAGAGGUGUUCCCAGAGUCUCCAGACCUCUGGUAAAUUUUAGUAGGGUUCAGCUACAGCACCUGCUAGCUCCUGCAACACUUUGAUAUCCAUUCAUCCUUUAAUAGUGCUCUCUGUAACUCCUAUGAGAUUUUCUCUCUGUUAUUUUCUGUGCCCACGGUUUUUCAUGUGAAAUCCAGUAGUUUUUCAAGGUCUACUCAAUGAGCUAAAACUCGGGCCAGGGCCAGCUCAUCUGCCUGCCUAUCGAUGCAGUCAUUCCACUGUACUAAGACAUGAAUCUAAACAAAGUGAUUUUCCUUUUUGGGAAGCUGUAGAAAAACAAGGAAAGAGAAAUGAAAAUGGCUGACUAAAUGUUAUCCAUAUGAUAUCACAGAAAGAAACUAGCUUCUGUAGCUCAAAAAGAAAUAUUCUGAAGGAAUACAGUAGGAUAAAAGCGGGUGAAAAGGAAUAGGGAGUAUUAAAUGAAAUUAUUAAGCAGCGUGUUGAAGGAAAACAAGUACCUUUAUCAUGCAAAUAAUGUUGCAGUACUGAGACAGCACUAAUUGAGAAUUAGUGUAGCCUGUUUGGAGAGGAUCCUGUGAGCUGGCCUACAAAGAGGAGAGAAUGUCUACAUACUGUGGGUGAUGUGAAGAUGAUGGAUUUGCACAGAUCUCUAGCAACGGUACAAGAAGUAAGACAUUGUCAUGCUGACUGGCACUCGAUUUAGAACAGAAUAUUAUGAAGAUGUUACUGGUUAGAUACCUGAGCAAGAAAGUUACAAUUGACUUAAGUGCCUGAAGUUGUUGACUUCCCAGCUAUUGCUAUGACCAGUAAGACGGGGAAUCAUUAGUGAUUUCCAGUAGUACGGCUGUCUGCAAAAUAGCCUCUGACAUCCAGAAUAACCACUGGGGCGUGAGAGGUUGAAUAAAGAUACUUGUGAAAAACUGUAUCUCUUUGUUCCAGUGCAAGCUUACAAGAAAUACUGGAAGAAAUGUUACAAGGCCAUAUUUCUCUGAUUCAGCGUAUAUGUUCUGUGUAGGUUCUUCAGAAGAACAAAUCUCCAUGCGUUUGCAGCUUCUGUGAUGCAGCUGUUUACUAAUUUAGUGUACAGCCCUCUUCAAGACUUUAGAUUCUGCUGAAUGGAUACUCUUCUAAGCACUGGUUUAAAAUAUUAAAUAUUAAAACUUUCCUGUAAUAACACUGUAGGAAGCAUUUCCCACUUGUGAUAAUGUCCAAAGUCCACUACAGAAGUUGAAAAUUCUGUCUCCAAUCCCAUUUGGAUCCAGGCAUUAGUCUGUGAGGUUCCUGUUUUUUUUCUCUCACAUUUCAUAAGGAUGCUAUUUAACAUUAGGGUAACCUGAAUUUGACCAAACCAUCAUAAAGUCCUUUGGGUAGUCAGUUUUUAGCACAAGCAAAGACUAGUAUAACGGAGUGCUUGCUAGAGAGGAACUUCCAGUCUUCUACAGGUGAAGUGUCACGUGUUACUUUAUUCCAACAUUAAGACAAACAGAAGUUUGUGUGCAUUAUUUUUAAUUGAAUGGACUCGUGCCAAAUACAUGACCUUCAUAAAUGUAUUUUUCUAAUGAAAACAAGUGAGCUCCAAAUGCUACUGACAGCUUAAGCUAA
Coturnix japonica (Japanese quail) is the source of this 22586-nucleotide non-coding RNA. The record is from RefSeq and is a predicted model, not a curated record. Lineage: Eukaryota; Metazoa; Chordata; Aves; Galliformes; Phasianidae.